UACGUAGGGGGCGAGCGUUGUCCGGAUUUAUUGGGCGUAAAGAGCGUGUAGGCGGCUAGAUAGGUCCGUUGUGAAAACUCGAGGCUCAACCUCGAGACGUCGGCGGAAACCAUCUGGCUAGAGUCCGGAAGAGGAGAGUGGAAUUCCUGGUGUAGCGGUGAAAUGCGCAGAUAUCAGGAAGAACACCCGUGGCGAAAGCGGCUCUCUGGGACGGUACUGACGCUGAGACGCGAAAGCGUGGGGAGCGAACAGG
This 253-nucleotide ribosomal RNA is filed under the name uncultured bacterium. Its description in RNAcentral is "partial 16S ribosomal RNA". It matches the Rfam family "Bacterial small subunit ribosomal RNA", at positions 524 to 776 of the family's 1533-position model. The record is from RNAcentral.